UAUUCACAUUUUGUCAUGAUAUUCUGAGUGCCUGGAAUAUAAUCUUUGAACUUUAGGAGGCUUAGAGAUUGUCUGAAUCUAAUCUCAUUCUUUUACUAGCACCCCAAAUAAUUUAAGACAGAAAUAAAUCAAGCAAAUGAGCAUUAAAUUAUUUGUUUUUGUUUUGACAGAUUUAGGGGAUACAUAGAAUGGAAUGUGAAAUCCUAUAAUUUGCAGCAGCAUGGAUGAAGUGGGGGCCAUUAUCUUGUGAAUAAUUAAAUGUUUUGAUAGUAAAAAAUCAAUGAAUGACCUUCUAUUUGGGUGCGAUCAUCAGUGUGGGAAGACGGCGGCAGUAUACCCAGAACUAGCACAAGCGAACAAAUGGAGGAUGUUCUUGACGAAGUUCUCAGCCUCUGUUGGUUUAAACAAAAAAUCUUUGUCCUCUGUGGUUAGACACAAGACAGGAAAAGCCAGAAAUAAUGAAAUUCAGCAACCUCUGGGGUGCUGGGAUGGAGACAUUUCCAUGAGGGGCUUCAUUCAAAGAACAGAGGCAAAGUUUCACUCUGUGGCCCAGGCUGGAGUACAGUGGCACAAUCAGCUCCCUGCAGCCUUGAACUCCUGAGCUCAAGCAAUCCUUCCACCUCAGCCUCCCAAGUUGCUGAGACUACAGUGUUGGAAGUGGGGCCUGGUUGGAAGUAUUUGGAUUACGGAGGAUGAUCCUUCAUGGUUUAGUGCUUUCCUCGUGACAGUGAGUGAGUUCUCAAGAUAUCCGUUGUUUUUUUUUUUAAUGUGUGGCACCUCCUCCCCUGAUCUCUUGCUCCCUUUUUUUGCCAUGUCAUGUGCCUGCUCCUGCUUCGCAUUCCACCGUGAGUAAAAUCUCCUGAGGCCUCUCGAGAAGUCAAGCAGUUGCUGGAACCAUGCUUCCUGUACCACCUGGGGAACUGUGAGCCGAUUUAACCUCUUUUCUUUAUAAAUUACCUAGUCUCAGGUAUUUCUUUAUAGCAAUGCAAGAAUGACCAAAUAUAAUACAAGUAGCAGCAGGAACAUUUAAAACAAUGAUGUGCCUUGAUUAGUUGAUUUCCUCUAUGAUACAGCCAUGUUGCAGAUUUAAAAUUAACUACAAUUUGAUUAUUUAAUUGUAUGGACAUUUCAUCCAUUGCAGAUUUUGGAGGCUCUGAAUACAUGGGUCUAUAAGCACACAUACACACACACACACACGCACAAGUUUGUGUGUGUUUGUUCUUUAUUAGUUAAAAUGGCUUGGUGAAUUUUUGCCAAUUAUAUUGAUUAUUAUAUAAAAGUUUUCUAUCUUGCUAAGCUGCUUCUUUACUAGCCCUUUGACUACAGAGAGCAGAGUUUUGUUAGAACCUUUUUUUGUUGUUGUUUGUACCCAUUGGCAUUUGUGGAUUGCCAGCUUCUUAAGCUGGCAUAUACGAAACAAACGAACAAAAAAAAACACAAAGAACUCAGCAUCCCCUUUCCUUGGGUCCCAAGUUCCCUACUUGGUCUGCCUUUUUUCUAAACUUUUAGAGUCUUCUUAUGCUUGUUUUCUAUAUACUGGCCAGAGCUAUUAGUUAUACUUAGUGGAAGGCAUAAGGUAAAGUAUGUUUACUCCCUCUUCCCAAAAGUGGAAAUUCAAAAAGAUUUUUAAAAGUUCACAUUGUACCAACCUUUUACGUGCCCAUAACCCCAUCUACUCAGGAGGCUGAAAUGGGAGAAUUGUUUGAGUCCAGAAGUUAGAGGCCAGCAGCCUGGGCAACAUAGCAAGAUCCCAUA
Molecule: long non-coding RNA, 1755 nt
Organism: Pan troglodytes (chimpanzee)
Lineage: Eukaryota; Metazoa; Chordata; Mammalia; Primates; Hominidae
Exons: 4
Source: RefSeq, a predicted model, not a curated record